RNAcentral lists this ribosomal RNA (554 nucleotides) under uncultured freshwater bacterium. Its description in RNAcentral is "bacterial SSU rRNA". It matches the Rfam family "Bacterial small subunit ribosomal RNA", at positions 974 to 1532 of the family's 1533-position model. The record is from RNAcentral.
CCUACCCUUGACAUGCCAGGAAUCCUGCAGAGAUGUGGGAGUGCUCGAAAGAGAACCUGGACACAGGUGCUGCAUGGCCGUCGUCAGCUCGUGUCGUGAGAUGUUGGGUUAAGUCCCGCAACGAGCGCAACCCUUGUCAUUAGUUGCUACGAAAGGGCACUCUAAUGAGACUGCCGGUGACAAACCGGAGGAAGGUGGGGAUGACGUCAGGUCCUCAUGGCCCUUAUGGGUAGGGCUACACACGUCAUACAAUGGCCGGUACAGAGGGCUGCCAACCCGCGAGGGGGAGCCAAUCCCAGAAAACCGGUCGUAGUCCGGAUCGCAGUCUGCAACUCGACUGCGUGAAGUCGGAAUCGCUAGUAAUCGCGGAUCAGCUUGCCGCGGUGAAUACGUUCCCGGGUCUUGUACACACCGCCCGUCACACCAUGGGAGCGGGUUCUGCCAGAAGUAGUUAGCCUAACCGCAAGGAGGGCGAUUACCACGGCAGGGUUCGUGACUGGGGUGAAGUCGUAACAAGGUAGCCGUAUCGGAAGGUGCGGCUGGAUCACCUCCUU